Molecule: long non-coding RNA, 247 nt
Filed under: Carica papaya (papaya)
Lineage: Eukaryota; Viridiplantae; Streptophyta; Magnoliopsida; Brassicales; Caricaceae
Description: long non-coding RNA (CPAP_LNC015667)
Source: RNAcentral
ACUAGGUCAGACAAUAUUCUUUUGGGUUAUUGGGAUUGUUGUUGUUGGGUACAAACUCGAACAAUGCAUUGGUGCCUAGUCGAGAUGAGAUCUUCAGCCAACUGAGCAUAUUCUAGCACCUCGGCAUAUGAGCUAAGUCUUAGCAUCGUAACCUAAUAUAGAUGUCGGCACGAAGGCCUUUCAGAAACUUCCUACCUUUAUGACUUUCGGGAGUGACCAUUAGAGGAGCAAACUUAGACAAUUAGAU